GGGGUCGUAUUGGUUUCGACAGCAUAGGUUACGGUUGGUGUAAGCAUGCAGUGCGUUGGAUAAUUAGCACUUAAAUCUGAAUACCCGAACCUCAAAUGGCAAUACACAGUAUGCCAUGGCUGCUUAAUCAGUGAUUAGGUAACCAUUUGGGCCGCCGCACAGGUUGAUCGCUUACCAGGUGCCGCCGCCGACUCAAAACAAAAGCGAAUGCGGAAAUAGAAGGCUGUGACUAUUUUCUAAGACUAUCCAGCUAAGUUCUUCAUUGGUUGGUUCAUUUCCUGUGAAGUUCCGAAAAGCAAUAGUGAAAUAAGCAUGUAGAAAGCUAAUGGUAGCGAUGUUUGGACAGGGGUUCGACUCCCCUCGACUCCACAA
RNAcentral lists this transfer-messenger RNA (372 nucleotides) under Sediminibacterium sp. It matches the Rfam family "transfer-messenger RNA". From Rfam's summary of the family: Bacterial tmRNA, also known as 10Sa RNA or SsrA, is named for its dual tRNA and mRNA-like properties. Its role is to liberate the mRNA from a stalled ribosome. To accomplish this part of the tmRNA is used as a reading frame that ends in a translation stop signal. Lineage: Bacteria; Pseudomonadati; Bacteroidota; Chitinophagia; Chitinophagales; Chitinophagaceae. The record is from RNAcentral.